UUCUGAAAAAAAAUCGCUUUCCUCACCUCAGCUAGCUAGCAACCACUAGCUUAGCUGCGUAAAAAACCUGCCGUUGCGUUAAAUAUAACGUCUACAUAACGCGCGUGAUAUUUAUUUGCGCUCAACUCUACUGCUUCCGGCUGAACAAUGCGAGGGAACGAUCAAAAUAAAGGCUGGAAAUCAUGCCUCAAGUGCAGGCUACACUCUUCAGAGAGAGAGAGCAAAAGAGAUCAAGUUGAACCUACAUCACCCCCGACUACAAUAUCACGGACAUUUCGAGUUAAAACACGCAAACUCGUGUGUAAAUGUGUCUAACACACUCGCCGCGGAGGGUGAUCGUUCCCCGGAUGUUGCUCCAUGCACGCCGGGGAAUGCAGAUGUCGGUAGCCGAAGAGGUGGCACUCGGAGCCGGGCAGGGGCAGGACCCUCGACCCUGGGAGACCCUCCGGCGAGCUGGCGGCGACACGCGGGAAAAGCAGCGCAGGCAGGCGACGAGCCUCGCUCUGACUGGCGGAGAGGGGGAGUGAGUCUAGACCGCAGUGUAGGAAGAAAGGACUGCCACUGGGGUCAGAGAGCAGCGACGAGAGCAUAGCCUCCGUACUAGUAUGGCGGAGCGAGUAUGUGUGUGAGUGUGUGUGUGGUUACUCCUCCCCUCCCUCAGAAGAGUCUGCCAUGAUACGCGUUCACACGUGGAGAGGAGAGAACCUCUUCUGCUGCUUAUUUUCGGGUCUUUCUGCAGUGUCCUUUGUUUUGAGGGUUAAAAUUUAUCGCACUGUUUUAAUCAAACCUGAGAGGACAUAAAGUACCUUGAGGAAGUGCUAAAUUAGUUUACAUUUUAAAGAAGAAACUAUCCUUUACACUGUGUGUAAGAUCUGUAGGUCAGGGUCUUUGUUACUGUCAAAAUCAAGUGAUGUUUGCAAACUUUUCAAUCUAUGACUGACUAAAAAGGUUCUUGCUUUCAUUUAUUUUGUAGGGUGAAGUCAUGUAAAACAGGCUACUUUUUUUUAUUACAGCCGCAUUUUCCACACUGCUCUUUGCUUUAUGUCGGGUUCCUUCUGUCAUUUUAUGUUGAAAAUAUGUAACAAAAAGCACAAGAGUUACUUCAAUAUCUCAACUCUGCUGUGUUCAUGGUAAAAUGCGAUCAGAGAAUUAAACCCUCUUUUUAUUGAAUACAGUUAUUCCUGAUUUAAAGUCGGGAUUAAAUGAAAUCGCGACAUAUAUUUGAGUGAAACAGCUUCUCAAACAAGAAUAAAUGUAGUCGCGGGACUUGAA
Ctenopharyngodon idella (grass carp) is the source of this 1272-nucleotide long non-coding RNA. RefSeq lists it as uncharacterized. Lineage: Eukaryota; Metazoa; Chordata; Actinopteri; Cypriniformes; Xenocyprididae. The transcript is spliced from 2 exons. The record is from RefSeq and is a predicted model, not a curated record.